ACUCCUGCGGGAGGCAGCAGUGGGGAAUUUUGGACAAUGGGCGAAAGCCUGAUCCAGCAAUGCCGCGUGUGUGAAGAAGGCCUUCGGGUUGUAAAGCACUUUUGUCCGGAAAGAAAUCCUUGGCUCUAAUACAGUCGGGGGAUGACGGUACCGGAAGAAUAAGCACCGGCUAACUACGUGCCAGCAGCCGCGGUAAUACGUAGGGUGCGAGCGUUAAUCGGAAUUACUGGGCGUAAAGCGUGCGCAGGCGGUUUGCUAAGACCGAUGUGAAAUCCCCGGGCUCAACCUGGGAACUGCAUUGGUGACUGGCAGGCUAGAGUAUGGCAGAGGGGGGUAGAAUUCCACGUGUAGCAGUGAAAUGCGUAGAGAUGUGGAGGAAUACCGAUGGCGAAGGCAGCCCCCUGGGCCAAUACUGACGCUCAUGCACGAAAGCGUGGGGAGCAAACAGGAUUAGAUACCCCUGUAGUCCCAUGA
This 474-nucleotide ribosomal RNA is filed under the name uncultured organism. Its description in RNAcentral is "partial 16S ribosomal RNA". It matches the Rfam family "Bacterial small subunit ribosomal RNA", at positions 335 to 800 of the family's 1533-position model. The record is from RNAcentral.